CCUACGGGAGGCAGCAGUGAGGAAUAUUGGUCAAUGGACGAGAGUCUGAACCAGCCAAGUAGCGUGAAGGAUGACUGCCCUAUGGGUUGUAAACUUCUUUUAUAUGGGAAUAAAAUGUUCCACGUGUGGGAUUUUGUAUGUACCAUAUGAAUAAGGAUCGGCUCACUCCGUGCCAGCAGCCGCGGUAAUACGGAGGAUCCGAGCGUUAUCCGGAUUUAUUGGGUUUAAAGGGAGCGUAGGUGGAUUGUUAAGUCAGUUGUGAAAGUUUGCGGCUCAACCGUAAAAUUGCAGUUGAAACUGGCAGUCUUGAGUACAGUAGAGGUGGGCGGAAUUCGUGGUGUAGCGGUGAAAUGCUUAGAUAUCACGAAGAACUCCGAUUGCGAAGGCAGUUCACUGGACUGCAACUGACACUGAGGCUCGAAAGUGUGGGUAUCAAACAGGAUUAGAUACCCCAGUAGUC
This 460-nucleotide ribosomal RNA is filed under the name uncultured bacterium. RNAcentral's name for it is "partial 16S ribosomal RNA". It matches the Rfam family "Bacterial small subunit ribosomal RNA", at positions 338 to 795 of the family's 1533-position model. The record is from RNAcentral.